GGCUGGGUGGCGCAAUGGUAGCGCGUUACUUUCCGGUUAAAUCAACUCUCAGUUGGUAAAGGCUCUGGGUUCGAGUCCCAGCUCGGUCG
This is a non-coding RNA of Lasiosphaeria ovina, 89 nucleotides long. The record is from the annotation of a GenBank genome assembly. NCBI's taxonomy places the organism in Eukaryota, Fungi, Ascomycota, Sordariomycetes, Sordariales, Lasiosphaeriaceae.